RNAcentral lists this ribosomal RNA (497 nucleotides) under uncultured bacterium. RNAcentral describes it as "partial 16S ribosomal RNA". It matches the Rfam family "Bacterial small subunit ribosomal RNA", at positions 28 to 507 of the family's 1533-position model. The record is from RNAcentral.
GAUGAACGCUGGCGGCGUGCCUAAUACGUGCAAGUCGAGCGAACAGAUGAGGAGCUUGCUCCUCUGACUUUAGCGGCGGACGUGUGCGUAACACGUGGAUAACCUACCUAUAAGACUGGGAUAACUUCGGGAAACCGGAGCUAAUACCGGAUAAUAUAUUGAACCGCAUGGUUCAAUAGUGAAAGACGGUUUUGCUGUCACUUAUAGAUGGAUCCGCGCCCCAUUGGCUAGUUGGUAAGGUAACGGCUUACCAAGGCAACGAUGCGUAGCCGACCUGAGAGGGUGAUCGACCCCCUUAGACCUGAGACACGGCCCACACUACGACGGGAGGCAGCAGAAUGGAAUCUGUCGCAAUGGGCGAAAGCCUGACGGAGCAACGCCGGGUGAGUGAUGAAGGUCUUGGGAACGUAAAACUCUGUUAUUAAGGAAGAGCAAAUAUGUAAGUAACUAUGCACGUCAUGACGGUACCUACUCAGAAGUGCACGGCUAACUACGGG